CGUAACAAGGUUUCCGUAGGUGAACCUGCGGAAGGAUCAUUAUCAAAACAGCGGACUUCGGUCCUUGCUGCACCCUUGUCUUUUGCGUACCGUAUGUUUCCUCGGCGGGCUUGCCUGCCGGUUGGACAAUAUCAAACCUUUUUGUAGUUGCAAUCAGCGUCAGAAAACAAAUAAUAAUUACAACUUUCAACAACGGAUCUCUUGGUUCUGGCAUCGAUGAAGAACGCAGCGAAAUGCGAAAAGUAGUGUGAAUUGCAGAAUUCAGUGAAUCAUCGAAUCUUUGAACGCACAUUGCGCCCCUUGGUAUUCCAUGGGGCAUGCCUGUUCGAGCGUCAUUUUGUACCCUCAAGCACUGCUUGGUGUUGGGCGUUUGUCCUGCAAAGGACUCGCCUGAAAGCGAUUGGCGGCCAACGUACUGGUGGUAGAGCGCAGCACAAUUUGCGUCUCUCCCUUCUACGUCGGCGUCCAUGAAGCCUUAUUCAAACGUUUGACCUCGGAUCAGGUAGGGAUACCCGCUGAACUUAAGCAUAUCAAUAA
Molecule: unclassified non-coding RNA, 537 nt
Filed under: Pyrenochaetopsis leptospora
Lineage: Eukaryota; Fungi; Ascomycota; Dothideomycetes; Pleosporales; Pyrenochaetopsidaceae
Description: sequence contains ITS1, 5.8S rRNA gene, ITS2
Rfam family: 5.8S ribosomal RNA (bases 182-335)
Source: RNAcentral